AUAGUCUUCGAGGGGUCUGCAAAUGACCACAAAUUGCAAAAUUGUAUACCUCUGUAUAUGUUUGCAUGUAUAUUUCCCUAGGGAGAGCCCGACCACUUUCAUCUGAUUGGCAUCUCUGAUCCUCCAGGAGGUUAAGGACCGUUUUAUCAGCAGCUGGCCCAGGUUUGGAGGCAGCACGUUUUAGGGUAUCCUGAGAGUGACAGCCCACAUACACAUCACACCUGGAGGCUCGACUUCCUCACUGGAUGCUUGUGCCUGGAACUGCCCUGUAGGGGUGACGCCCUCCAAAGGCAGUGGCGCAGCUGCUCCUGUGCGUACCCAGUGGCUUUCUUAUGGCGGUGGCCAGGUGCUCAGUGAGAGGCCUGAGGCUCUGGGUGGAACCAGAUUCCAGGAUUCAGCUAGGAUCCAACUAGGGUCAUUGUUUUCAGCGAGAUCUCACAGCAGCGACCCUCAAGAUGACAGAAAUGAAUAAUGCCUCCCUAACACAUGCUGUGGUUUUUGGUUUUUGUUUUGUUUUGUUUUGUUUGAGAUGGAGUCUUACUCUGUUACCCAACCUCCCAUGCUCAAGUCAUCCUCCUGCCCCAGACUCACAAGUAACUGGGACCGCAGACAUAUGCCACCAUGCCCAGCUAAUGUUUUGUAUUUUUGGUAGAGAUGGAGUUUUGUCACGUUACUCAGGCUGGUCCUGAGCUCAAGU
This 697-nucleotide long non-coding RNA is filed under the name Homo sapiens (human). RNAcentral describes it as "HSALNT0345657". The record is from RNAcentral. Lineage: Eukaryota; Metazoa; Chordata; Mammalia; Primates; Hominidae.